Molecule: transfer RNA, 71 nt
Organism: Beta vulgaris subsp. vulgaris (sugar beet)
Lineage: Eukaryota; Viridiplantae; Streptophyta; Magnoliopsida; Caryophyllales; Amaranthaceae
Rfam family: tRNA
About the family: Transfer RNA (tRNA) molecules are approximately 80 nucleotides in length. Their secondary structure includes four short double-helical elements and three loops (D, anti-codon, and T loops). Further hydrogen bonds mediate the characteristic L-shaped molecular structure. tRNAs have two regions of fundamental functional importance: the anti-codon, which is responsible for specific mRNA codon recognition, and the 3' end, to which the tRNAs corresponding amino acid is attached (by aminoacyl-tRNA synthetases). tRNAs cope with the degeneracy of the genetic code in two manners: having more than one tRNA (with a specific anti-codon) for a particular amino acid; and 'wobble' base-pairing, i.e. permitting non-standard base-pairing at the 3rd anti-codon position.
Source: Rfam
GGCGGCAUGGUCGAAUGGUAAGGCAGAGGACUGCAAAUCAUUUUUCCCCAGUUCAAAUCCAGGUGUUGCUU